UAAUACGUAGGUGACAAGCGUUGUCCGGAUUUACUGGGCGUAAAGAGCGCGCAGGCGGUCGAUCAAGUCGAGUGUGAAAGCCCCCGGCUCAACUGGGGAGGGUCAUUCGAUACUGAUCGACUCGAAGGCAGGAGAGGGUAGUGGAAUUCCCGGUGUAGUGGUGAAAUGCGUAGAUAUCGGGAGGAACACCAGUGGCGAAGGCGACUACCUGGCCUGUUCUUGACGCUGAGGCGCGAAAGCUAGGGGAGCAAACGGGAUUAGAUACCCCGGUAGUCCUAGCCGUAAACGAUGGACACUAGGUGUUGGUGGUAUCAACCCCGCCAGUGCCGAAGCUAACGCAUUAAGUGUCCCGCCUGGGGAGUACGGCCGCAAGGCUA
RNAcentral lists this ribosomal RNA (377 nucleotides) under uncultured bacterium. Its description in RNAcentral is "bacterial SSU rRNA". It matches the Rfam family "Bacterial small subunit ribosomal RNA", at positions 521 to 896 of the family's 1533-position model. The record is from RNAcentral.